This 468-nucleotide ribosomal RNA is filed under the name uncultured bacterium. Its description in RNAcentral is "partial 16S ribosomal RNA". It matches the Rfam family "Bacterial small subunit ribosomal RNA", at positions 28 to 507 of the family's 1533-position model. The record is from RNAcentral.
GACGAACGCUGGCGGCGUGCUUAACACAUGCAAGUCGAACGGAAAGGCCCUGCUUUUGUGGGGUGCUCGAGUGGCGAACGGGUGAGUAACACGUGAGUAACCUGCCCUUGACUUUGGGAUAACUUCAGGAAACUGGGGCUAAUACCGGAUAGGAGCUCCUGCUGCAUGGUGGGGGUUGGAAAGUUUCGGCGGUUGGGGAUGGACUCGCGGCUUAUCAGCUUGUUGGUGGGGUAGUGGCUUACCAAGGCUUUGACGGGUAGCCGGGCUGCGAGGGUGACCGGCCACGUUGGGACUGAGAUACGGCCCAGACUCCUACGGGAGGCAGCAGUGGGGAAUAUUGCACAAUGGGCGGAAGCCUGAUGCAGCAACGCCGCGUGCGGGAAGACGGCCUUCGGGUUGUAUACCGCUUUCGCCUGUGACGAAGCGUGAGUGACGGUAAUGGGUAAAGAAGCACCGGCUAACUACGUG